This 424-nucleotide ribosomal RNA is filed under the name uncultured Bacteroides sp. Its description in RNAcentral is "bacterial SSU rRNA". It matches the Rfam family "Bacterial small subunit ribosomal RNA", at positions 338 to 754 of the family's 1533-position model. Lineage: Bacteria; Pseudomonadati; Bacteroidota; Bacteroidia; Bacteroidales; Bacteroidaceae. The record is from RNAcentral.
CCUACGGGAGGCAGCAGUGGGGAAUAUUGCACAAUGGGCGCAAGCCUGAUGCAGCCAUGCCGCGUGUAUGAAGAAGGCCUUCGGGUUGUAAAGUACUUUCAGCGGGGAGGAAGGGAGUAAAGUUAAUACCUUUGCUCAUUGACGUUACCCGCAGAAGAAGCACCGGCUAACUCCGUGCCAGCAGCCGCGGUAAUACGGAGGGUGCAAGCGUUAAUCGGAAUUACUGGGCGUAAAGCGCACGCAGGCGGUUUGUUAAGUCAGAUGUGAAAUCCCCGAGCUUAACUUGGGAACUGCAUUUGAAACUGGCAAGCUAGAGUCUUGUAGAGGGGGGUAGAAUUCCAGGUGUAGCGGUGAAAUGCGUAGAUAUGUGGAAGAACACCGAUGGCGAAGGCAGCCCUCUGGGACAUGACUGACGCUCAUGCAC